Molecule: unclassified non-coding RNA, 302 nt
Filed under: Disanthus cercidifolius
Lineage: Eukaryota; Viridiplantae; Streptophyta; Magnoliopsida; Saxifragales; Hamamelidaceae
Description: partial contains external transcribed spacer and 18S ribosomal RNA
Source: RNAcentral
GUGUCCCUUUCGUUUACCACCCUUAUCGGGUGCGAUGCGGACCCCAAAGUAGUUCCCGUGUUCCAUGCUCGUCUCGCGUAUUGUUGCGAGCAAGGCCCACGGGUUUCUGCUCGUGCUCUCGGAUGCGGAAGCUUGUGCGGGCAUGGGGCGUUAAACCCCUAUUUUGCCCAAACUAAGCGUUCGUCGCUCGACACGUACGACAGCCGCGCUCGUCUUGACCCUCCAAUUUACUUUGUUGGGCUCAUGCGGUGCCGGCGUCGCACAGGAAUGCUACCUGGUUGAUCCUGCCAGUAGUCAUAUGC